UCUAUUUUCGAUUGUAUUUGUUGAUGAGUUUGGUAAUGUAGGAAAAUCUGUGUUUUGAUCUAGUCUAUAUUGAACACUUGCUUGUUUCGGAUGUAAUUUAGAAGCUUCAAAAAAUGUUAUUUUAUUUAAUAUCAUGGAUUUUUGUAUUUGUUCUUGUCUUUUACGUUCUCUGCAAUUUCUGUCAUCAGAUCUGUGUUCUUCUUUGCAAUUCAUACAUGUUGAUUGUUUUUCACACUCAUUAUCAUGAAUUUCACUACAAUUGACGCAGUGUUUGUUUUUAGAUCUACAGUGUUUUUCUCUGUGUCCAAAUCUCCAGCAUUUUUUGCAUAAUUUCAGGGGGAAAAAAUAUGCUUCUACCUUUGCAUUAAUUCCGUAAAUGUUAAUUGUUUGUGGUAAUAAUGGUCCCUUAGCGUAAAUUUUAAUUGCACUUGUAUUAAUUAAAUUUUCUUUGGUCUUUGUGUUUUUAUCCAAUCUCUUAAUUCUUUCUAUUUUAAAAAUAUCAAUGUUCUUACUUUCUAUGUUAUUUAAUAUUUCCUCUUCUGUAAGCGAUGGUGGGAUAUUUUUGACCACACCAAUCGUUUCCUUAAACAUAUUAGGAACAAAGACUUUAAAUUUAAAUUCUUCUUUAAGAAGUUUCGAAUUGAGAAGAAUCUCUGCAUCCUUAGGUUUUUUGAAUGUGAUUUUAAAUUUUGUUCCUCCCAUAGGUUUCAUUUCUUGAUAGUUCCUGAUUCCGAUAUUAUGCAACAUUUUGGCUAUGAUCAUUGGGUGGAUACGUUUUUUAUGUGGUAAGUUAUCUUGUAAUGUUUCUUUUGAUUUUUCUUGUAAUGUUUCUUUUGAUUUUUCUUGUGAUGUUUCUUUUGAUUUUUCUUGUGAUGUUUCUUCAGUGUUUUCUUCUUUUUCGAUAAAGAAGGUUGUGUAAUGUUGGUUUUUAAUGUACUCAUUAUUGUUGUGAUUUUGAUUCUGGUUUUUUCGAUUUUUUUUUGUCGGAUUAGUGUCUUGUUUCUGUGUUAUUUGAUCAUUGCUUUUUAAUGUUUUGGUUGUGAUUGUUUUAGAUUCCUGAGAUGCAUCAGUUUCCAUUUGUGUACCUGGUUUAGAAUUAUCUUCCGAUAUGCUCCCAUCUGUGUCGUCUGAAGUCUGUGUCUUAGUUUUCUUAUUUUUACUCUUUCUAUUUCUAGUCAUUUUUUCUUCUUCACUUUCGUCUGUAAUUUCCAAUUUUCGUCGUAGUUUGUUGUUUUUAAUUAUGGGGUCUUCAAAUCCCCUAAAAUCCUCAUCGUCCUCUAUCAUAGUCCAUCAAUUUAAAUAAAUUUAUAGGUAAAAUUAUUGCAGUGGAAAAUGGUUGAUGAAAAAAACCUAACCUAAAAGUUUAGGCUUGGCUUGGUCUGAGCUUGCUCAACGGUAAAAAGAAUAUAUUUUGAUACUUAUCUGUUGGUUAUUAUUAAAAUCCUUCUCUAUACACUUCUGUCCACUCACUUCACUUUAACAAAGACAACUUUUUGUUCAGUCAAUGAGACGAAAAAAUUUUCAAAAGUUUCGUAGAAACCAUGUGGUUCCUUUACUUCGCGUUGCAAAAACCGAAACCACAAAACUUCGCGUCUAGGCGAUGUUGUCCGUUCGGCGAUUUGAGAGAGAAUGCAACCGUACUUCUUAAAUUUACGGCUCACUACAACCGGUGACAAAGUUCCGCCCUUCAUUAUCAAACGACAGCAACAGGCAGCGCAACAGCAGAAUCAAAGCGAACCAAGCAAAUUAACUUGGACGACAGAUGGACCAGGAAAAACCUUCCUCGAUUGAAAGCUGAUGAUUUAAGAGUUUCCAUAAAGAUCAGUGUCAAGUUAGGAGGACCUAUUUAGAUGCAAAGGCACCAGCAGCAGCAACAAUAGGUUGCCAGAAGCAGUGUUUUUGCUUGCCGAAUGUCGAUGGCUGAAAAAUUCUUAUCUGGCGUCGCCUUUCCUGCUCCUGAUGUUCAACAUCAUCGGAGGUCAUACCAGAUUCUGGAAAUUGGAAAGAUGCCAUCACAAGCCAACAUUAGAUUUUAGUCAUUUGUACACUAUCGCUGCAGACCGUCCUGCCUUUCUAAUGGUUUCGAGGAUAAUAUUAUAAUGUUAUUACGGAACGUUCAGUUAUGGUUUGAUGAUGACCUGGAGAAAUUAAGGCGAGACAACUGGAAAUGGCCACAAACCGGUAAGAUUAUUAUUAUUAUUAAAUAAAUAUGCCCUUAUUCUGCGCCGCGCGUGAGGUGACGUCGGUCGAGGCAUCUUACCCUCAUGGGACUCUAGUCACCUUAUUCAGAUAGUCGGGGUAAAUGAAGUGACAGAGGUUCAUUACCAAAAUUCAUCCGAAGUGACGUUCCUCACCCAAAGCGACUCCUGGAAUGGAGUGACUCGACUAUCGUCACUUCACGUGCGGCACAGAUUGAGGAUCAUGAUGCUUUUAUAAAUUAAUUAUGUUUGCACUUAAACCCUCCACUCUGGUCACUGGUUGUACAAGAAGUGAAGUUAUAGAAUCAACCGGAUGUGUGUCUGAUCAAAGUGUUGGCAUCAUAGGAUGAAUGAAUUAUUAUUUCAUGUUAGUUAGGGUUACUAUAUGUAUUUGAUAAUGAAUGUUCAUACAACUUAACAAAUUACAAUACAAUUACUGCUAUCUAAUCAUCGAGAAUAAUCGUUCAAAGAUUGGUUGAUACUUUUUAUUAGGAGAUAAGAAAUUUAAUUUAGUUUAGUAAAUUAUUUUAUUUUUGGUAAAAUGAUUCACAAGCGGCUGAUCUGAUUUUAAUUUGAUUUUUUUUUCUUAUGCUAGCAACGGUACAAAGAUGACACCAAAACUAGUACGGCGACUUCAUUCACCGAAUGAGACGUCUGCCAACCACGAAGACGAUUCAUCCAUCCGCGCUACUAUAUUGUCCCCUCUUACAAAGAUUUUGUUGAUAAAAUUAUGCCGAGAUUGCUUGAUUGUCGAUUUUGACAAUCUUUGGAUGCCACUGGAGCCAGACGUAAACCAGCGUAAUGAUAAAGCAAUAAAAUGCUUUAGUGUUGAAGUACGAUUGAGUCUUAUGCUACGCCAGGUACCGAACUUUAACGAAGUUUCAGUACCAUAGGUCUGAAGAAAGGGCUGAAAGAUGCUCAAGGCGGUUGCUCAAAUCGAUAGUUAUAAUCACGAAAACAAAACCUCAUCGCAUCACCCGGUUAAACCAUUAAAAUUUUCCUCGAUCAACGUGACGCUGGUUCCGAAUCAGCAACAGUUCGCUGCUAUCGGAAAACGGCUUCCUCCUCUUCGGCACCCUAGUCGACGGUCAGCUGGGAGGGCAUCCUAGAACUCAUCAACAUGCCCGAGGGCAGUCUUAAAAUCCCAGUCAAUUCCAUCUCGGCCUCCCAGUUAUGCGAGGGCUUGAAUUCACUCCUGUUCUGCUGUGUUACAUUUGCCGAUAACGAAACGCUUCCACCGCACACUAAGUUUCACUUCCGGGAGCUGAUCACCCGGGUAGAGAAUUAGUCGCUCUCGCUACGUUCUGGGGGCAGAAAGAAUGUGCAUGACAAUGAGAAACUUCUGCUGGAAGUCGGUCAGUCACUGAAGCAAAUCUCGAACAGGUCUUUUUGACUUGAACAACAGCCAGUCAACAAGAGUCGGUCACCGGAAUGUCAUCGUAAUUUUCAUGUCGCCUGAGUAGCCGUUAUUAAGCAAUCUGGUUUCGGCUGACCAGCGUUAUUUUAAACAACUGUUCAUUAUUCUGAGAUGGCCCCACGAGCUGCCCUCCGACUCUGUUUAAAUCGCAACUUGUCCGUGUUCAUGUUGAAAAAGGGGGUUUCUCACCGAACGAUAAUAGGUGCAACAUGGAGAACAGUAGCCUCAAUGAAUCCAUGAGUAGCAUGGACAAAUCUCAGUUCGAUAGUAGCGGCCAGUGGCUUGGUUCGAAAAAUUAUUUUUAUUCACCGGUUGGUUACGAGUCUAUCCGAGGCCUGGUUUCGGAAUCUUCAGUUGAACCAAAACUGCAACAGUCCCAUAGGAGCAACAACGGUUCGGAGAGGUUAAGGAACAAGCCAAGAAGGAGUAGAAGGCUAAGAAAUUAAUGAAGGAGUUGCCCCCGUGUUCGAGGAGAUGGAGGUGCAUUUCAUCCUUCAAUAUCUACAAAUCACAGGAGGACUUCUUUAAUGAACGUCCUGCUCAUCUUUCACAACUGUGAAAUGUACAACGAUGACGAUUCGCCGGUGGGCACAGCUGUUCAUAGAAUGUGCCAGCUUUGUAGAGGCGUUGGGCUGAACUGACCGAAAAGCCGGCCACGCAACAACCACAACGACAGCAAUCAUCAUGACAGCAGGAUCAACAACACUCCGGAUACUCAUAUUGAUGCCAGCAGUUAGCGUCAACCGUUUCAAUUACUUUAUCAGAAGUUAAUUUAAACAGUUUUACGUUAACAAUAAAUAGUUAAAUUGAAACUCGGUAAAAUAAUAGGAAACCAAGGCCUAAAAUGACCUCCUAGUGGAAAUAACAGGUUUAUUUAAUAGAUCAUGUAAAAAACUGUAGGCAAAUAGGAUUGUAGUAUUGAGACUGCGUUAGAAAAUUCCCAAAAUGAAUGUUCACUCGGUGUUGAGAGGUUCAAUUUAGUUUGGAAAUUUCAAACGUUAAACCAGGAAAAAUUGUUAUUACUUUCUAUUAUUUUAUUAUAAUUAUACAAUUAUGUUUAAUACUAGUUAUGAUUUAAAGCAUAAAUUAGGAGAAAAAUAAAAAAAAACAA
Molecule: long non-coding RNA, 4726 nt
Organism: Uranotaenia lowii
Lineage: Eukaryota; Metazoa; Arthropoda; Insecta; Diptera; Culicidae
Exons: 7
Source: RefSeq, a predicted model, not a curated record